GCUGUAAAUCUAUUUGAUGUUGGGAACAAACAUGGUCCCAUUAACAGAAACUCAAACAAAACAGGAAAUUUUUUUAUUUUUUUUGGCAUAGACAGCCGAAAAGAAACUUACAGCAAUAGCCUCUGUCACGCUCUCCAGACGUUUAUGCAAUUUUGAAACAGCAGCAUUCAUACUACGCUUUGUCACAUACAGAAGAUCUGAGAAUUUUAGACCCUAACCAUUUGUGAAGAGCAAAUAUUAGAUUUGCUUAAAGAAGACAACAACUCACAGAACCAAUGGAUGAAAUAAUAUGAACAUAAAUAUAUCAUCUGGAUACCUUCCACCACAUGUAACCAUAACCCAAUGCCCCCAAGGUAGCUGUUGGCAUUAUUAGUGAUGUCA
Long non-coding RNA from Prunus persica (peach), 381 nucleotides. RefSeq lists it as uncharacterized. The transcript has 2 exons. The record is from RefSeq and is a predicted model, not a curated record. Lineage: Eukaryota; Viridiplantae; Streptophyta; Magnoliopsida; Rosales; Rosaceae.